CCUACGGGAGGCUGCAGUGGGGAAUAUUGCGCAAUGGGCGAAAGCCUGACGCAGCGACGCCGCGUGAGGGAUGAAGGUCUUCGGAUCGUAAACCUCUGUCAGCAGGGAAGAACGGUCACUGUGCUAAUCAGCAGUGAAUUGACGGUACCUGCAAAGGAAGCACCGGCUAACUCCGUGACAGCAGCCGCGGUAAUACGGAGGUUGCGAGCGUUAAUCGGAAUUACUGGUCGUAAAGCGCUCGUAGGCGGUAUGUCAAGUCAAGGGUGAAAUCCCCGCGCUCAACGUGGGAACUGCCUUUUAAACUGGCAAACUGGAGUGUGUGCGAGGAUAGUGGAAUUCAAGGUGUAGGAGUGAAAUCCGUAGAUAUCUGGAGGAACAGCAGUGGCGAAGGCGACUAUCUGGCACAUAACUGACGCUGAGGAGCGAAAGCGUGGGUAGCAAACAGGAUUAGAUACCCCAGUAGUC
RNAcentral lists this ribosomal RNA (465 nucleotides) under uncultured bacterium. RNAcentral's name for it is "partial 16S ribosomal RNA". It matches the Rfam family "Bacterial small subunit ribosomal RNA", at positions 338 to 795 of the family's 1533-position model. The record is from RNAcentral.